GACGAACGCUGGCGGCGUGCUUAACACAUGCAAGUCGAACGGAAAGACCCUGCUUUUGUGGGGUGCUCGAGUGGCGAACGGGUGAGUAACACGUGAGUAACCUGCCCUUGACUUUGGGAUAACUUCAGGAAACUGGGGCUAAUACCGGAUAGGAGCUCCUGCUGCAUGGUGGGGGUUGGAAAGUUUCGGCGGUUGGGGAUGGACUCGCGGCUUAUCAGCUUGUUGGUGGGGUAGUGGCUUACCAAGGCUUUGACGGGUAGCCGGCCUGCGAGGGUGACCGGCCACAUUGGGACUGGGAUACGGCCCAGACUCCUCCGGGAGGCAGCAGUGGGGAAGAGUGCACAAUGGGCUGAAGCCUGAUGCAGCAACGCCGCGUGCGGGAUGACGGCCUUCGGGUUGUAAACCGCUGUCGCCUGUGACGAAGCGUGAGUGACGGUAAUGGGUAAAGAAGCACCGGCUAACUACGUG
This 468-nucleotide ribosomal RNA is filed under the name uncultured bacterium. RNAcentral describes it as "partial 16S ribosomal RNA". It matches the Rfam family "Bacterial small subunit ribosomal RNA", at positions 28 to 507 of the family's 1533-position model. The record is from RNAcentral.